RNAcentral lists this ribosomal RNA (585 nucleotides) under Comamonadaceae bacterium BvORR144. Its description in RNAcentral is "bacterial SSU rRNA". It matches the Rfam family "Bacterial small subunit ribosomal RNA", at positions 102 to 683 of the family's 1533-position model. Lineage: Bacteria; Pseudomonadati; Pseudomonadota; Betaproteobacteria; Burkholderiales; Comamonadaceae. The record is from RNAcentral.
ACGGGUGAGUAAUACAUCGGAACGUGCCCAGUCGUGGGGGAUAACGUAGCGAAAGCUACGCUAAUACCGCAUACGAUCUGUGGAUGAAAGCGGGGGAUCGCAAGACCUCGCGCGAUUGGAGCGGCCGAUGUCAGAUUAGGUAGUUGGUGGGGUAAAGGCUCACCAAGCCGACGAUCUGUAGCUGGUCUGAGAGGACGACCAGCCACACUGGGACUGAGACACGGCCCAGACUCCUACGGGAGGCAGCAGUGGGGAAUUUUGGACAAUGGGCGCAAGCCUGAUCCAGCAAUGCCGCGUGCAGGAUGAAGGCCUUCGGGUUGUAAACUGCUUUUGUACGGAACGAAACGGUCUUUUCUAAUACAGAGGGCUAAUGACGGUACCGUAAGAAUAAGCACCGGCUAACUACGUGCCAGCAGCCGCGGUAAUACGUAGGGUGCGAGCGUUAAUCGGAAUUACUGGGCGUAAAGCGUGCGCAGGCGGUUAUGUAAGACAGAUGUGAAAUCCCCGGGCUCAACCUGGGACCUGCAUUUGUGACUGCAUAGCUAGAGUACGGUAGAGGGGGAUGGAAUUCCGCGUGUAGCAGUG